This 2356-nucleotide long non-coding RNA is filed under the name Marmota monax (woodchuck). Lineage: Eukaryota; Metazoa; Chordata; Mammalia; Rodentia; Sciuridae. The record is from RNAcentral.
UUCAAAUCUAAUCACAAACACAAAAAAUACCUAAGCCCAUAAUAACUUAUGAACGGAAAAUGAUAGCUUAUUAACUGGACACUUAAACUUGUAUUCUCUUAUUAAUCUGCAGUGUCCAGCUGGAAUACAGUGAGGAUGCAGUUUCCACUCUCCCUGCCUGACACCCUUGACUCCCUGCCUUCAUUUUUGAAAGGAUCAGAGUUGGAAAAAUCACUCAUAUGUUACCAAGAAGGUAGAAGGUUGUGCCAUGGUGUCAAGGAGAUUCCUAGAUAAUAGAGCUCCUGGUGAAUGUAACGGAAAUCCCAACUAUUUGUGAUGAGUAUUAAAUUUAUAUGCAAAUAUUUAUUUAUGUGGAUGAAAAAUAAUUCACAGUUCUUUAAAUUUAAAAUGAAUGUUGUGAAUAAGUAAUUUUUAAAAUAUUUGGAAUCCAAGAAAGGUGAAAGAAACAAUUGUGGUAAAGGGAAACUGUGAUUAAAACCACACAGUUAGGGCUGGGGAUGUGGCUCAAGCGGUAGUGUGCUCGCCUGGCAUGCAUGCGGCCCGGGUUCGAUCCUCAGCACCACAUACAAACAAAGAUGUUGUGUUCACAAAAAAACUAAAAAGUAAAUAUUAAAAAAAUUAAAAAAAAAAACAGACAAUUGUCCUUGAUUUGGAGAAACAACUAAAGACGCUGCUCACAGAGGAGCAAUCACUCAGAGAGACACGGAGGUGUGUAAAGGCACACACAGGGUGGCAUGAAUUAGUGGAUGAAUGUGCACUAAUAUUGGGUGCAAAAAAGACGGGUGAGUACCUUGUGCAGACAGAGAUGUACAUAAACCUGGGGAGCUUGAAAAGCAGUGUGUUAGCACAAAAAAAGGGAAAUAAAUGUAAUUAAAAAUUAUACUGUUUCAUGCAGUGGAAAAAAGUCAUUUCUCUGGCUGUGGGAAUGGAAACCAGAGCUUCUGCCCAAGAGGCACCUGCUCCACCACUGACCAACAUCCCACAACAUGCUCAAGAUGAGCCCUGAGCCAGGGCCACACAGGAAUCCACAGCCUGAUUCUUCACUCACAGAAAGGCAGGGUGGUGGGGAGGAUAAGAGGCUAAUAGCUUAGCUGCUGGGUUAGGGCAAUAUUUUACACAAAAUAAUUGAAUGCAUGCAGACAAACAGUAAGAAGUUAAAAAAAAUGAUAACAAAGAUGUAUUGUCCAUUGUUCACACAAAGUAAUAUUGUUUCACUGGGUAAUGAAAACAUGCAUGCACCUUACAUAAUGUGAGCAUCACAGAAAGAAGGUCUAUGGAUGGAAGUGUUGAGUAGUUCCUGAAUUGUCCAUGAAGUGUAAGAGUGCUAAUGAGCUGACUUAUCUCUGUAAAAAUAGUGUCUUUUGUUUUUCUCUUUCAUGGUUUGUCUUGUUGAAGAGUGAUUUUGGCGGGGGGCGGGAACCAUAUUCUUUAACAGAUAAAAAUAAUGUUCAAUCACAUUCCAGGCCUCCUCUCCCACAGGAGCAGAGGGAAGAGGACAUGGGCUCCACAUGGUGCACACGGGGAUGGAGCCUCCCUUGCCUGGGUCCCCAUAUGAUUCUGUGGAGCACCCCUGCCUGGCCCAGGAGCACACAGCCUUAACAAUAUGCUGUGGUGCCAGCUGUGACAAGUACAGUGGUGACCUCCAUCCUGAUUACUAUGAAUGCACAAAAGACAACCUGAGUGACAGGUGUCUCACUCAGUUCCCAUAAUGAUGCUGUCUUAACAUGUAAAAAUGUAAAAUUAAAUUUAUGCUUGAAAUAUAGAUCAGUCUCUCCAGGGAUGAGGCUAUGGUGAGUGUAUAUCCCCCCAGUUCAUGUCACCCACUGGAGGUCAAGAAGUGGAACAUCCUAGCACAGAAUUCAGUGAGAGGAACCUACUUGAAUGUGAGCCACCUCUGUGUCCACAGGGUCCUGUGCCCUCUGCUCUCCACAAUGAUGCUCUACAGCUCCCACCUGACCAUCAAAUGGGGCAGACAUUCACACCCAGAGAGAAGUUCAGAACCCAACUGUUAUGGGAACAAGGGAAGAGGGCAGAGCAGAUGUGUCUAACGAGGUCAUGAACUGAGUUCAGGACGAGCUCAGGGCAAAACCAGGUGUCAAGUCAAACCAGGUAUCCUAUCCUGCUUCUCCAGUACAGAGUCCAGAUCCAAGAAACAGCAGGAUCAAAGACAUCCAACAUACACCUUUCCAAAUAUGCUGAACUUAUUUCAUGAGAUCCUUCAAGAUGGGACUUCUUUUGUCAUCUAAGGUCAGUGUGAAGUGAACAAAUACUUUCUUGUUCCCACUGCUGUCUCUUCGAACAGUUUGAACCUCAGCUUGUAAUUUUUUUUUUCUCAUCACAAGUAAUAAAAUGUGUG